This is a long non-coding RNA of Lolium rigidum, 544 nucleotides long. RefSeq lists it as uncharacterized. The record is from RefSeq and is a predicted model, not a curated record. The transcript is spliced from 2 exons. Lineage: Eukaryota; Viridiplantae; Streptophyta; Magnoliopsida; Poales; Poaceae.
CCCGCCCCCCCAAUCCGCGAGGACAACCGGUAAGACCUGCCGCACCGCUCCUCCAUCUUCUGUAAAUUGUGCGAGAGGUGAACAACGACCAAAUCUCAGGAGUAAUGCUUGGUUAUUCAUAAAUCAUUCUUGGAAGUACAUGAAUUAUCAAAAGCAAGGGUUGAAUUUAUUUUGUGCCCUUGUUGAGGAGGUGACAGCGGUGAGUUACAUGUGAGAUGCGGAUGGAGGCGGUAGUGCUCAUCUGCCAUGAGUGCUUCCUUGGCCGGUGAAUUGGCCUUGGUGGCUUCUCAAUGGGAGGCCUUCGAGACUUCGAGUAGCAUAGGCUCGAUGUUCUUCUCCAUAUAGGCGCUGAUGAAGGUCUCCGAUUUUCUGGUGAAUUCAAAUACUCUAUAAUUUCUGUUUGAGUACGCACCUCUACCACAGGAAGUACACACACUUCAUGUCACCCGUGUUCCGGUACUGCGGAGCUGACAGGACUCUGGAUAUUUUGUCUUCCUAGAUUGGUCAUUUUGGGGCUGGUAAUUAUGCUUGCUCACCUUCUACA